This is a long non-coding RNA of Oryctolagus cuniculus (rabbit), 2237 nucleotides long. The record is from Ensembl. NCBI's taxonomy places the organism in Eukaryota, Metazoa, Chordata, Mammalia, Lagomorpha, Leporidae.
CCAAGCCCCGUGCAGCCAGAGUGCCGGGCCCUGCCCGUGAAGGAGCUGGAAGACAUGCAGUGUUGACCCUGCCCCCCACCAGAGCUGCCGUGGCAUUAGAGAGGUCACAGGCCCCCCGGGGGAGGGGGGAGUCCUAUGGGGACUGUGGCUGCCGUUCACCGCGCUGCCCGCACAGUGUGAUUCCUAGGCUGGCAUAGGUCAGUGCAUUUGGUCCAAGGCUGAAGUUGGUAUCUCUCCGGUGUGAUGAUAGCCGUCCCAGCAGGAAUUUCAGAACUUGGCAUAAGAACUCGGUCCUUGAGAUCCGGCAAAUUGUGAUUUGGCUUCUAGAGUUAGAAUUGGUCAGUGUACUCGGAAAAACAUAUUUGGAAAUCGCAAAAGCUCCUCUCUCAGAAGGUUUGGCUGCCAGAGCCACGUCCUCGACAGACGGGCAGAGGACGGCCCCCUCUCUGCCCCGCCUCCAGGCACUGCUUGGUGCUCCCCGGUCCCGCGUCAGGGACGCUCUCCCGGCCUCUGCUCCGAGCGGGCUCCCAGCGGCCACUCCUGUCGGGGCUGCCGGCUGCUGCAGCGGGCUCCCAGCUGUCACUCAGUGUGCCUGGAGCCCUGCCCAGUGCCAGACGUGACGCUCGGGCAGGCCCAGCGCUGGGCGCCAGGUCCUCUGCUGGAACAGACCAUCACACAACACAGCCACAAGGACGCUGCCCGUUCUCAGCGCUCAGAGAAACCUUUGCCCCAGCUGCGUUUCAGGUGCCAACUUUGUUUUCUUCCGAGCAAGGUCAUGUUCCCUAUAUUACGAGCGACCCCAACACAUUCGGAUUUCCUUGGCAAUACGCACAGGCGUAGACCUAGCGGGCGGGAUAAGGCGUGAGCGCCCCCGAGGCCAGCCCCGGCAGGCUUUGGAGAGCUCCGUGGUUUCCAGAGUUUGGGGGCCGUUGCGAUUGUGGAGAACGGGCGAGCUCUGGACAGGCGCGGGCCCAGGCACCCUGGGUGAAUCUGCCACCUGCUGUUCCAGCUUCCCAGAAGACAUCUAGGCAGGGAGAGGGACGCAGCUCACUGCCCAGCGAGAGUGUCUGGGGGAGGAGGGUGCGUGAGCCGAGAUCCUCGCCACACCGUGGAAGGUUCCAGUGCAGGCGAGGCAGAGGAGGAGGCACCUCCACGGAGACCACCAGCGGGCCGGGGAGGUGACAGUGGGGAAGGGACGGGGGUCUCCAGCACUGAAGGAGGGAGGAGAGCAAGGCGGGGCGGGGACUAGAGAGCUCCCGGUGGGGCUGGGGGUGGGCUGGGUUGCAGGUUCUUUCUGGCCCUUAUACAAUCCCACCGCGGCAGGAGGCCGUGUCCCACCGUCCUCUGGACUGGAAAGAGAGGAGACCGAGGGGUGCGCCUGUUUCCCCAACAUACAGGAUUCCGAGUCUGUGGCGCCAGCUGAGCUCCACUCCGGGGGCGGUCAGGCAGUGGUCUCACAGGGCGGGAGGGACUGCUGAUCUCCCACCGGGGGCGCCUCCCUGCCCAGGGCCACCUCCUCCCUCGCCGGCCGGCUUUUCCGAGCCCGCAAACCCGCAGUGCGAGCUGCCUCUCUCCCCGAGACGAGGCCCUGCCUGACAGAUGAAAUCUUUAUUAUGAUGAGUUUUAUGUGCGUGUAUGAGUGCGUGCGCGCGCGCGCGUGUGUGUGUGCGUGUGUGCGUGUGUGUGUGUGUGUACGUGAGUGCGUGCACAUCUGGGGCCCAGGAGGCAGCCGAAAUCCCCGCAAACGUGGCUCAUGAAUAUUCCACGGCGGUGCCUGCCACAUUUUGCAGUCAUCGAUUAUUUAUAAGCGAAAUAACGAAAGCGUCAUAAAUAAUGGAGGUGCCUGCAUCCCCGCCCGUCCUCCGCGCGGCUCGCGCCUGGCCCAGGUGAGGCGGUGAGCUCUCCAUGCCAGAGUGCCCGCCUGGGACGCGCGCUGUGGCGCAGCGGGUUAAACUGCCCCUUGCAAUGGCUGCUAGCCCAUAUCGAAGUGCUGGUUCGAGUCCCAGCUGCUCUGCGAAGCUGAUCCUACUCCCUGCGCAUGCGCCUGGGAGGCAGCAGAGCAUGGCCCAGGUCCCUGGACCCCUGCCGCCCACACGGAUGGAGUCCCUGGUCCCUGGCUUUGGCCUGGCCCAGAUCUGGCUCUUGUGGCCAUUUGGGGAGUGAACCAACGCAUGGAUGAUUUCUCUUUCUAGUUCCUGACCUUUCAAUAAAAUAAAUAAAUCUUUUAAAAAAAAUCA